GCCAGAGUCAGUUGAUUGGUGCUUACAGGUCCGAGAUAGCUGAUACAGUCUUGCAGAAGUCUUGAUCUUGGGCAUUCAUCAAUAUUGACCCCUUUGCCAUCACCAAUAUCCAACCUAUGCCAGCUUCAAUCCAGUGUUGGAAAGCCAAUUUCUGAGCCUUUGCAUCCUCACCUAAACCCUUCCCAACCUGUAGAAGUUUUAAAUUUCAUGAAGUAUCAAAACUGAAGUUCUACUCAGGAAUAGAAGGUGGCAGAAAUCAAGAUUUCAUGUUUACUAGGCAAGUACGCAUGCCUUUGAAGCAUUUUGACUGAUCCUACUCCACCGCGAAGCUGGUUUUUCAGGCUGGAAGAAGUCAAAGAAAGCAAUCGUGCUGUGAUUCAAACGAGCAUAUUCUAUUGCUUGCCACCUUCAUAUUGUUUGUCUGCUUCACUGCAGCUUUGAUGGCCUGAAAGCAGUUCGUUUCUUGGGCUGAUUGGAGAUCAGACUUUGGAGCAGCUUGGUUGCUGAUAUCCAUUUAUUCA
Long non-coding RNA from Sesamum indicum (sesame), 521 nucleotides. RefSeq lists it as uncharacterized. The record is from RefSeq and is a predicted model, not a curated record. NCBI's taxonomy places the organism in Eukaryota, Viridiplantae, Streptophyta, Magnoliopsida, Lamiales, Pedaliaceae.